This 467-nucleotide ribosomal RNA is filed under the name uncultured bacterium. RNAcentral describes it as "partial 16S ribosomal RNA". It matches the Rfam family "Bacterial small subunit ribosomal RNA", at positions 28 to 507 of the family's 1533-position model. The record is from RNAcentral.
GACGAACGCUGGCGGCGUGCUUAACACAUGCAAGUCGAACGGAAAGGCUCCAGCUUGCUGGAGUACUCGAGUGGCGAACGGGUGAGUAACACGUGGGUAAUCUGCCCUGCACUCUGGGAUAAGCCUGGGAAACUGGGUCUAAUACUGGAUAUGACCUUUCUCCUUAUGGGGUUUGGUGGAAAGUUUUUCGGUGUAGGAUGAGCCCGCGGCCUAUCAGCUUGUUGGUGGGGUGAUGGCCUACCAAGGCGACGACGGGUAGCCGGCCUGAGAGGGUGAACGGCCACAUUGGGACUGAGAUACGGCCCAGACUCCUACGGGAGGCAGCAGUGGGGAAUAUUGCACAAUGGGCGGAAGCCUGAUGCAGCGACGCCGCGUGAGGGAUGACGGCCUUCGGGUUGUAAACCUCUUUCAGCAGGGACGAAGCGUAAGUGACGGUACCUGCAGAAGAAGCACCGGCUAACUAUGUG